AUUGAACGCUGGCGGCAUGCUUUACACAUGCAAGUCGAACGGUAACACGUCGGCAGCUGCGGACGCGAGUGGCGAACGGGUGUGUAACACCUGAGCAUACCCCCGCUUGGGGGGGAACAAGUCGCGAAAGUUGCUAAUACACCACACAAGCUACGUAUAUGAGCGGGGGGGCUUCGGACCUCUCGCGCGCUCGGCGGCCGAUGUCAGAUUAGGUAGUUGGUGGGGUAAAAGCUUACCAAGCCGACGAUCUGUAGCUGGUCUGAGAGGAGGAGCAGCCACACUGGGACUGAGACACGGCCCAGACUCCUACGGGAGGCAGCAGUGGGGAAUUUUGGACAAUGGGCGCAAGCCUGAUCCAGCCAUGCCGCGUGCAGGACGAAGGCCUUCGGGUUGUAAACUGCUUUUGUACGGAACGAAAAGCCUCUGGCUAAUAACGAGGGGUCAUGACGGUACCGUAAGAAUAAGCACCGGCUAACUACGUG
RNAcentral lists this ribosomal RNA (482 nucleotides) under uncultured bacterium. RNAcentral describes it as "partial 16S ribosomal RNA". It matches the Rfam family "Bacterial small subunit ribosomal RNA", at positions 30 to 507 of the family's 1533-position model. The record is from RNAcentral.